AAGUCAGACAAGUGCACCCGCUGAAUUUAAGCAUAUAAGUAAGCGGAGG
This 49-nucleotide ribosomal RNA is filed under the name Cladocopium sp. clade C. Its description in RNAcentral is "partial 28S ribosomal RNA". The record is from RNAcentral. Lineage: Eukaryota; Dinophyceae; Suessiales; Symbiodiniaceae.